RNAcentral lists this ribosomal RNA (397 nucleotides) under uncultured bacterium. RNAcentral describes it as "partial 16S ribosomal RNA". It matches the Rfam family "Bacterial small subunit ribosomal RNA", at positions 523 to 918 of the family's 1533-position model. The record is from RNAcentral.
AUAUGUAGGGGGCGAGCGUUGUCCGGAAUGAUUGGGCGUAAAGGGCGCGUAGGCGGCCCGGUAAGUCUGGAGUGAAAGUCCUGUUUUUAAGAUGGGAAUUGCUUUGGAUACUGUCGGGCUUGAGUGCAGGAGAGGUAAGUGGAAUUCCCAGUGUAGCGGUGAAAUGCGUAGAGAUUGGGAGGAACACCAGUGGCGAAGGCGACUUGCUGGACUGUAACUGACGCUGAGGCGCGAAAGUGUGGGGAGCAAACAGGAUUAGAUACCCUGGUAGUCCACACUGUAAACGAUGAAUGCUAGGUGUAGGGGGUAUCGACCCCUUCUGUGCCGCAGUCAACACAAUAAGCAUUCCGCCUGGGGAGUACGGCCGCAAGGUUGAAACUCAAAUGAAUUGGCGGGG